This 219-nucleotide ribosomal RNA is filed under the name uncultured prokaryote. Its description in RNAcentral is "partial 16S ribosomal RNA". It matches the Rfam family "Bacterial small subunit ribosomal RNA", at positions 524 to 742 of the family's 1533-position model. The record is from RNAcentral.
UACAGAGGUGGCAAGCGUUGUUCGGAAUUACUGGGCGUAAAGGGCGCGUAGGCGGUCUUGUAAGUCUUGUGUGAAAUCCCUCGGCUUAACUGAGGAACUGCACGAGAUACUGCGAGACUUGAGAUCGGGAGAGGGAAGCGGAAUUCCGGGUGUAGCGGUGAAAUGCGUAGAGAUCGGGAGGAAGGCCGGUGGCGAAGGCGGCGCUCUGGAACAUUCCUG